CCUUCCUCCAAGGCCCUGCCGAGUGGGGUAGCCACAGACCCCUACGCGUCUCCCCCUCUCCUACCCCUGUCAUUGCGUCUGAGUCACCCCUCUCCCAAAGACCAGGGUGCAUCAGGAAUCUCUGCACCCACAAAUCUGGGUGGUGUUCGGAGACGCAGCUUCUGCCGCAUUGCUAUUGUGUGUGUGGAGGUGAGAAGACAGCUUUCAGGGGUCAACUUUCACCCUCCACCAUGUGCCUCCCCGGGGACUGGACUCGGGGCAUCAGACUUGGCAGCCAUCGCCUUGACCCACUGAGCCCUGGAUUGCAGUGUGCGAGCCCGGGCGACGGCCCAGAGACUGACGGCAGUCACGGGCGCUUUCAGUGCUCCCUGGGAAUACAGCUCUUCCUGGUCUGUCCCAAACACGCAGGGCCGACGAGAUGGCUCACGGUAAAGGAGCCCACCGCCAAGCCUGACGAGCCAGGUUCAGUCUCCAGGACCCACA
This is a long non-coding RNA of Meriones unguiculatus (Mongolian gerbil), 483 nucleotides long. RefSeq lists it as uncharacterized. NCBI's taxonomy places the organism in Eukaryota, Metazoa, Chordata, Mammalia, Rodentia, Muridae. The record is from RefSeq and is a predicted model, not a curated record. The transcript is spliced from 3 exons.